CUGGGCGUGCUACCAUGCAAGUCGAACGUGAUCCGCCCUUCGGGGUGGUGAAAGUGGCGCACGGGUGAGUAACGCGUGGAUAAUCUGCCCGAGGAUUUGGGAUAACAUCUCGAAAGGGGUGCUAAUACCGAAUAAGCCCACGGGGUCUACGGAUCUUGCGGGAAAAGGGGGGGACCUUCGGGCCUCCUGUCCUUGGAUGAGUCUGCGUACCAUUAGCUAGUUGGUGGGGUAAUGGCCUACCAAGGCGACGAUGGUUAGCUGGUCUGAGAGGAUGAUCAGCCACACUGGAACUGAGACACGGUCCAGACUCCUACGGGAGGCAGCAGUGGGGAAUUUUGCGCAAUGGGGGAAACCCUGACGCAGCAACGCCGCGUGGGUGAUGAAGGCCUUCGGGUCGUAAAGCUCUGUCUGGAGGGAAGAAAUGAUUGGGAGCUAAUACCUCUUGAUCUUGACGGUACCUCUGAAGGAAGCACCGGCUAACUCCGUGCCAGCAGCCGCGGUAAUACGGAGGGUGCAAGCGUUGUUCGGAAUUAUUGGGCGUAAAGCGCGUGUAGGCGGUCUUUUAAGUCUGAUGUGAAAGCCCCGGGCUCAACCUGGGAAGUGCAUUGGAAACUGGGAGGCUUGAGUACGGGAGAGGAGAGUGGAAUUCCUAGUGUAGGAGUGAAAUCCGUAGAUAUUAGGAGGAACACCGGUGGCGAAGGCGGCUCUCUGGACCGAUACUGACGCUGAGACGCGAAAGCGUGGGUAGCAAACAGGAUUAGAUACCCUGGUAGUCCACGCCGUAACGAUGAGUACUACGUGUUGCGGGUAUUGACCCCUG
This 820-nucleotide ribosomal RNA is filed under the name uncultured Geobacter sp. Its description in RNAcentral is "bacterial SSU rRNA". It matches the Rfam family "Bacterial small subunit ribosomal RNA", at positions 36 to 840 of the family's 1533-position model. The record is from RNAcentral. Lineage: Bacteria; Pseudomonadati; Thermodesulfobacteriota; Desulfuromonadia; Geobacterales; Geobacteraceae.